UGGGGAAUAUUGCGCAAUGGGCGAAAGCCUGACGCAGCAACGCCGUGUGAGGGAUGAAGGCUUUAGGGUCGUAAACCUCUGUCGGAAGGGAAGAACGGGCAUUGGUCUAAUAGGCCUUCGUUUUGACGGUACCUUUAGAGGAAGCACCGGCUAACUCCGUGGCAGCAGCCGCGGUAAUACGGAGGGUGCAAGCGUUAUUCGGAUUUACUGGGCGUAAAGCGCACGUAGGCGGCUUUGUAAGUCAGGGGUGAAAGCCCACGGCUCAACCGUGGAACUGCCUUUGAAACUGCAGAGCUUGAAUCCUGGAGAGGGUGGCGGAAUUCCUGGUGUAGGAGUGAAAUCCGUAGAUAUCAGGAGGAACACCGGUGGCGAAGGCGGCCACCUGGACAGGUAUUGACGCUGAGGUGCGAAAGUGUGGGGAGCAAACA
This 428-nucleotide ribosomal RNA is filed under the name uncultured prokaryote. RNAcentral describes it as "bacterial SSU rRNA". It matches the Rfam family "Bacterial small subunit ribosomal RNA", at positions 355 to 774 of the family's 1533-position model. The record is from RNAcentral.